This 2707-nucleotide long non-coding RNA is filed under the name Papio anubis (olive baboon). RNAcentral describes it as "lncRNA (ENSPANG00000044328.1)". Lineage: Eukaryota; Metazoa; Chordata; Mammalia; Primates; Cercopithecidae. The record is from RNAcentral.
GGCACUUCUGGAAAACCCGCUGUCGGCUCGCUGCCUUGGUCCGACUUUGAUCGCGGCCUUGAUAACUUGGCGCAGCGCCCUGUCUCCUUUCCUCCGGUCCCUCUCCCGCCCACCCGGCCUCACCGGCCGCUUCGCCUGCAGCGCUGGAGUCGACCAGAACUCCGCGGCUCGGCUGCCAGCAAGACCCGGAGAGCGGAUCCCGCUCCUGGCUGCGCGGCGCGCACUCGCCUGCCCGCCCGCUCCCCCGUUCCUCGCGCGGGCACUGGGCAUGCGCGGCGCGCGGUUGGCACUGGCCGCGAGCGGGCGGGCGGCUCCAGACUUCACAGGCAGCAGCUAGCGAGGCGGUCUCGCCCGGCGCGAGGCAGGCGCUGUGCUCGCCUCGGAGAUCGCUGCUCUUCAGCUGGGCGCAGGAGGCGGCUCCGCGGCUCGCGGACGACUGGCUGGGCGCGAAUCAGAUUGGGGGGCUUUCUCCCGGUCCCCUCCCACCUCGUCUGGGCUCGCGGCGUCUCCGGGGAAAGCCGUGGCCCCGAGGGCGGAUCCGAGGCGGAGUCUCGCUCUGUUGCCAGGCUGGAGUGCAGUGGAACGAUCUCGACUCACUGCAACCUCUGGCUCCUGGGUUCAAGCGAUUCUCCUGCCUCAGCCUCCUGAGCAACUGGGAUUACAGGCACGUGCCACCAUGACCAGCUAAUUUUUGUCUUUUUUAGUAGAGAUGAGGUUUCACCAUGUUGGCCAGGAUGGUCUCGAUCUCCUGACCUCGUGAUCUGUCCCAAAGUGCUGGGAUUCCAGGUGUGAGCCACUGUGCCCAGCCCAUCUCUUCAUCUUAAAUGAAUACCUUACCUCUUUAUUAUUAAUAUGCAAUCGGAAGGAAAGUUUAAUUUUGGGUAAAAUCAGCUUCCAGCAAGUUUCUUGUCAAGAGCAUUUCACUCUACACCAUUGUUUUGAGGGUAUUUAAAAUGGAAACAAUUUUAGAAAUCAUUUUAUUCAGUGUCUUCAUUUUGUAACCUGAUUUAAUAAAUAUUAUUAGGUUUCUAUUACAGUUACUAGGGACAUAAAAUGUAUGAAAUAUGAUCAUUCUCCACUUGGAGCUUAUGGAUGAAAACUAACAUGAAUGGCAUUCAAAGGGGGUAGAUUGAGUAAUACUUAAUUUGUAUUUCAAGAUGAUUCAACUAAAAGGUUUUUAUUUUCCAAAAGACUAAAAUGAUGUUAUUAUGAUGACUGUAGACUUUAGUCUCCCAAGGCUGGUCAAUGCUCUUUCUGAAUUAUUUUUUUGUCAUACAGAAUUAAAAGAAAACACAUUUUAAGUGUACUCUUAUGUUACAAGUUCUAUUAGUCCUGUAGUUUAGGGGUUUGAAUGUAUCUUUUUCUGAAGAUAGAAGUGUAUGUAUUUUAAAAUAUAGAUCUGUCAUGUUCCAAAUUUCUUCCUAUGUAAAUAAGAAAUAGUGAGCUAAAUGAAUGUCUAGGAAGUGAAGGCUGUCAGGAUACUGUUGUAUGAUUUUUGAAAAAAUAUAAGGUACAAUGUAUUAAGGAACUAUGCUAGUAUCUAACAUAGUGUCCUAAAUAGUUGUUGAUCGGGUUAAUACUAUAUAGAUGAACCAUGCUUUUUAAUACUGGUUGCAUGCUUAUGAAAAAAAGUGGAUCAAAGGUAACUAUAUGGAGCCUUUAAAGUUUUUCCACCAAUAUGAAACCAUAGUUUUCUUACUGUGUUUGUUUAUUCAGUUCUGGUAUAUAAGAAUAAAGAAAUACAUUUUUCAUUUGUUUUUGGCUUGAUAGUGGCACAUUUACUUAUAUUUUUCUGUCCCAAAUUAUAUUUGAAUUUCUUGAUAGAACAUACAAUUUAAGACAAAGAAGAAAUAUUUCCAUUUAUUUCAUUGUUCUCUUUCUGGUAAAACCCUGUUGGCUAGACUACUUUGCUAAUGUGGUCAAACUCAAGAUAUUUAAUUUUGUAGGCUCUACAGUUUCACCUGUUACUUGCUCCCAGACUGAAUAUCUAGCAACAUUUUUUCCUAAGUAACUGGCUACAGGAAAAACUUCAUAAAUGAUUGGAUAAAUCAAUCAACAAUUUAGUAAAUUAAGUCAGACUAUAACUGUUGCCAAGUAAAAUGGUGUUAUAUCUUUAUACAGAGGGAAGAUGUGAUUAGAGCUGCUUCAGAAUUGUAGGAAGAUAUAAGAGUAAUCCUAUCUAGCUGGGGAAGGAGCAAUCAAAAUACAAAUCAGUUCUGGAAAGUGUACAGUUCUGAGAGGCAUGUGGUGAUAGGCAGCUCUGUAUGUUUAACUCUGGGAGGGUGAGAUAAAGGUGAAAGAAUAUAGAAUUAUUUAAGAAAUGGAGCAAAACUACAUGGUAAAGAGUUAAUGUAGGGGCAGGAAGGAAUCACUGGGGGAAGACUUUUGAACAGUGGCAGACAGGAAGGGAGGAGGGUAGAGAGAAAGCUGAAUUUUGGAGUGGAGGUGUGGGUUUGGGUACUUAGGAUAGAGUGACCAGUUUAAGGAUUUGCUCAGGAGGGAACCCAUAGAAAGAGACCACUGCUUCAGGUGGUUCCAAGAUGAUUUAUUCCUUCCUUCCUUCCUUCCUUCCUUCCUUCUUCCUUCCUUCCUUCCUUCCUUCCUUCCUUCCUUCCUUCCUUCCCUUCCUUCCUUCCUUCCUUCCUCCCUUCCUUCCUUCCUCCUUCCUUUCCCCUUCUUCUUCUUUCUCCCUCCUUCCUUCCUUCUU